Molecule: ribosomal RNA, 264 nt
Filed under: uncultured bacterium
Lineage: Bacteria
Description: partial 16S ribosomal RNA
Rfam family: Bacterial small subunit ribosomal RNA
Source: RNAcentral
GACGAACGCUGGCGGCGUGCUUAACACAUGCAAGUCGAGCGGUAAGGCCCUUUCGGGGGUACACGAGCGGCGAACGGGUGAGUAACACGUGGGUGACCUGCCCUCAGCUCUGGGAUAAGCCUGGGAAACUAGGGUCUAAUACUGGAUAUGACUCCACGGUGCAUGUCGUGGGGUGGAAAGCCUUGUGCGGCUGAGGAUGGGCCCGCGGCCUAUCAGCUUGUUGGUGGGGUGANGGCCUACCAAGGCGACGACGGGUAGCCGGCC